Caenorhabditis elegans is the source of this 21-nucleotide non-coding RNA. The record is from Ensembl. Lineage: Eukaryota; Metazoa; Nematoda; Chromadorea; Rhabditida; Rhabditidae.
UAUAGUGCUGUUUCAACCAAU